GCAGCUGGAGCUGGAGGAGGCCGUGCUCAAGUUCCGCCAGAAGCCUAGCUCCAUCAGGUGCCCCGGGCUUCCGGGGCUGCGGGCCACCCACCCCAGUCUCACAAAGGCCCCGGGCUGCAGCCAGGCUGGGAGCUGGGAGUAUACCCACUGCCAACAAGCCUGUGUGUCCCACAGAGGGGCCAGGGGACUCCACUUGCACACACCUGAGCUUCUGAGUCCCUGAUUCUGGCACAGCACCCAACUCAGGACUGGGCUCCUGGGUGGCCCACCAUGGCUCUCGGGCCUGUGCCCCUCACUGCUGUGUCCCUAUUGCCUUCUGCAGCUUCAAGUCCGUUGAGAAGAAAAUGACAGACAUGCUAAAAGAGGAAGAAGAGAGGCUCCAGCUGGCGCACAGCAACAUGACCAAGGGCCAGGAGCUGCUGCUGACCAUCCAGAUGGGCAUCGACAACCUCUAUGUCCGGCUGAUGGGCAUUAACUUGCCUGCGACCCAGGUACCGGGAGUGAGGCUGAGCUGCCACACACCAGGUCCCUGGGCAGGGCCAGAGGGGAGAUGAGACCCUCCUCCCGGCCUACAGAGAGAAGUGGUGCUCUCCAACACCCUCGAUUUGAACAGCAAGCUGGCGUACUGCGAGGGGAAGCUCACGUACCUGGCUGACAGAGUGCAGAUGGUGUCCAGGACCGAGGAGGGCGACACAAAGGUGAGGGACACCCUGGAGUCCUCGACUCUGAUGGAGAAGUACAACACCAGGAUCAGCUUUGAGAACCGGGAGGAGGAUAUGAUCGGACUGCUGCGGACGCUGGGGCGACCGGGGUCUCGGAGAGGAGCACGGGACACGCAGGAUCGGGGGAGGUUCUGCGUAAGGAGGCAGCCCGGGCCCGGAACUGCGCGCCAGAACCGCGUGCGCAUGCGCCGACCGCGCGCGCCGCGCCCCCGCGGCCCUCGCGGCGCCCCGUAGCCGCGCACCCCUCCCGUCCCGCCGAGCCGGCGCCAAGAUGGCGGCGCUGACUCCUGGAGAGCGGUCGCGCCGGAGGCCGCGGGGGCCGGAGCGGAGCAGCCGCGGCUGAGGUUCCCGAGUCGCCGCUCGGGGCUGCGCUCCGCCGCCGGGACCCCGGCCUCUGGCCGCGCCGGCUCCGGCCUCCGGGGGGGCCGGGGCCGCCGGGACAUGGUGCCAGUCGCACCCCUUCCCCGCCGCCGCUGAGCUCGCCGGCCGCGCCCGGGCUGGGACGUCCGAGCGGGAAGAUGUUUUCCGCCCUGAAGAAGCUGGUGGGGUCGGACCAGGCCCCGGGCCGGGACAAGAACAUCCCCGCCGGGCUGCAGUCCAUGAACCAGGCGUUGCAGAGGCGCUUCGCCAAGGGGGUGCAGUACAACAGUUUAAAAGCAAGUUCAUGAAUUCGCGUGCCGUGUGCACGGAGAGAGGCCGUAGUUCCUGGGGCUGGAGCUAGUCCAGGAGGACAGUGAAGAUGUCGCCUUCCUUAGUCCCCCGGCCUGUGAGCAAGAGGAAGCUGCAGACCACUCGGGCCACCCUCACCCAGACACCUUUAGCAAACAUACGACGACAAAGAAGAUUUUGAUGAAGUUCAAAUUAGAGUCAGCGUGCUCAUCAGAAAGAAAGCGCAGCCAACACGUUUAGGAACAGAAACGGAUUAUGUUGAAGACAAACAAUCCAUUGCGUUUGUGUUCAGUAACCCAAGCAUCAAAGGAACUUGUGGCUGGGGAGAAGGCUUGACUAUUUGAAAUCUCAGGACUCCUCUGUCCAGGAGCUCCCAGACUCCCGUGGAGUGGAAGCCUGGGGGCUCGCUGAAGAAGUCACGUGACUGGAACGUGCUUAAUGCUUGGCUGUCUGGUAAGGAAAAUAAAGUGGUGCAUUUUGAAUAAAAAUAAAAGCUGAUUUUAAAUGUG
This is a long non-coding RNA of Homo sapiens (human), 1900 nucleotides long. NCBI's taxonomy places the organism in Eukaryota, Metazoa, Chordata, Mammalia, Primates, Hominidae. The record is from Ensembl.